GGGCUUAAUCCAUACCAGUGUCUUCCCAGCACUAAACACUGAGAUAUGUGAACUCCUUAACUUGGGACAGCAACUCGUUCCUAACGUGAAGGAUAAUUCUCCACUGUUUUCUGGCAGAGUACCAUGGCCUAAGCUGCUUCACAGUGCAAACUACCUAGUGCACACUAACAGUCAAAGGUCAGAGAAGCAAGUGGGACUACAUAAUCGGCAGAAGGCACAGAUACCAUCCUGAGGUCACCGAAGUGGAAACUCUCCACUCCUGAGCUGCACGUUGAGAUUCUGUCCAUAGUCUAAGUGAGAAGGGACAGCCUUGGCCAAACUCACCCCAUAGGAUGCAAGCCAAAAAAUACAUCAUGAACCACUUCCCCAUGGGAGCCUGAGUGUCACAGAGUUUUAUGGAGAGGUCAUUAGUCACAGCAUGCUUCAUACAUCCAGUUUGGACAGACAGCUGCACUGGGUGUGGUUGGCAACACUGAUGGUCACUGGCCUGGUGCCUUGGGUGAUCGGCACCAUGAUCUCAAACAGCUGCGGAAAGUGAAAAAGAUUGAAGAGUCAGACAAGCUGAAUCAAGACAAGGUGCAAAGACCAUAGUGCAGUGCACUAUGAGGAAUGACAGUGUACUUUAUGUUUUUGUCAUGGGGAGCAGCAGACAAGGAAAUUACUAAAGUGACAGUUAAAUAACAAGAAAUAAAAAUAAUAGUAAAGAAAAUCUAAUUUAGCGGAUCGUCUUUUUGUCUUUUAAACAAGUUUGCCUUCUAUAAGAAUGUAUUUACGUGUUACAAUAAU
Xiphias gladius (swordfish) is the source of this 786-nucleotide long non-coding RNA. RefSeq lists it as uncharacterized. The transcript is spliced from 3 exons. The record is from RefSeq and is a predicted model, not a curated record. NCBI's taxonomy places the organism in Eukaryota, Metazoa, Chordata, Actinopteri, Istiophoriformes, Xiphiidae.